RNAcentral lists this unclassified non-coding RNA (244 nucleotides) under uncultured fungus. RNAcentral's name for it is "partial contains 18S rRNA, ITS1, 5.8S rRNA, ITS2 and 28S rRNA". Lineage: Eukaryota; Fungi. The record is from RNAcentral.
AGGGAUCAUUACUGAGUGAGGGCCUUCGGGCUCGACCUCCAACCCUUUGUGAACACAACUUGUUGCUUCGGGGGCGACCCUGCCGUUUCGACGGCGAGCGCCCCCGGAGGCCUUCAAACACUGCAUCUUUGCGUCGGAGUUUAAGUAAAUUAAACAAAACUUUCAACAACGGAUCUCUUGGUUCUGGCAUCGAUGAAGAACGCAGCGUAGCCAGCACAGAUGUGGAAGUAAAAGUCGUAACAAG